This 440-nucleotide ribosomal RNA is filed under the name uncultured bacterium. Its description in RNAcentral is "partial 16S ribosomal RNA". It matches the Rfam family "Bacterial small subunit ribosomal RNA", at positions 338 to 795 of the family's 1533-position model. The record is from RNAcentral.
CCUACGGGAGGCAGCAGUGGGGGAUAUUGCACAAUGGGGGGAACCCUGAUGCAGCGACGCCGCGUGAGCGAAGAAGUACCUCGGUAUGUAAAGUUCUAUCAGCAGGGAAGAAAAUGACGGUAUCUGACUAAGAAGCCCCGACUAAAUAGGUGUCAGCAGACGCGGGAAUACGUAGGGGGCAAGCGUUAUCUGGAUGUACUGGGUGUAAAGGGAGCGUAGGCGGCCAGCCAAGUCUGAUGUGAAAACCCGGGGCCCAACCCCGGGCCUGCAUUGGAAACUGGCGGGCUGGAGUGUCGGAGGGGCAGGCGGAAUUCCUGGUGUAGCGGUGAAAUGCGUAGAUAUUAGGAAGAACACCGGUGGCGAAGGCGGACUGCUGGACGGUGACUGACGGUGAGGCGCGAAAGCGUGGGGAGCAAACAGGAUUAGAUACCCUGGUAGUC